UUCUACAAAUCUGAAAAAGGGAGAAAGGGAUUAGGUUUUAAUUUUUAAGUUUUCGAUUCUUACUAGACCUGGACCGGCGACUGAGGAAACCGCCGGAGCUGCUAAUGGGUGAACCGCCGCACAAGGCUGUUCGAGACGAGCCCUAGAACAUGCGGCGGAGGCUGGCAGCGUUGGCGAGGCUGAGAGGAGAAGAACCCCGCUAUGCCGGCUGCAUCAGGUGAAUCGCGUCCCUGUCUGGACGCUGGUAUGGCGGAGGAGGGCGGCGCCUCCGCGAACCGGAGAUAAGUGAAGAAGGAUCCCUUCACUUGAACUUGGCACUUAUGGAAGGAAGGGAUGACACAUGCACAAUAAUGAGAGGAUUCUCCCAUUAAAGCGUUGGAGGGAGUUAAGGGGGGAAAUAUGUUUUUUCCUUUUUUAAGUGAUUGAAUGUACCAUCUUUUAAAGUCAAAUGCAAUAAUGCUUAGGUGUUGUAU
Non-coding RNA from Lupinus albus (white lupine), 473 nucleotides. NCBI's taxonomy places the organism in Eukaryota, Viridiplantae, Streptophyta, Magnoliopsida, Fabales, Fabaceae. The record is from the annotation of a GenBank genome assembly.